Non-coding RNA from Biomphalaria pfeifferi, 574 nucleotides. The record is from the annotation of a GenBank genome assembly. NCBI's taxonomy places the organism in Eukaryota, Metazoa, Mollusca, Gastropoda, Planorbidae.
ACGUGGUCACCCCCCCCCCCUUUCCCUUUAAUCCAGUACCGUAAAACCGCUAUCCCUAAAGUUUGUAUUAAAAAAAUAUUUUCAUAGUAGAGUCAAUGUUGGCAUUAUGAAGACAACCGUAAUCUAAUGUGACUCAAAUCGUUACAUUCUAACCAUGCAAUUAGUCAUCUGAGUUUAGUUCUGAUCACUUGUAGCCCGGUAAAGGUCGGUGUUGUCUUACGUAACAGGUUCAAAGUUCAUGUGCCACCUAGUGGUGAGAUAAUCCCCUUCAAUCGUGAUAAUUCUUCGCUACGUCACCGAUAAGAGAGACGAUAAUCUCCUCCCAGGGGGUUUAUGGGUCUUUAUCUAUAAAGCUGAAGCCUUUUGGGUAAUAUAUAUAUAUAUAUAAUGAUGUUUUAUUUAAAAAAAAAUGGAUGUUGGUCUGUAAGGUGUCAUCGUAGCAACGGUAAUGUGUUAGCUAUGUCGUUGUGUGUGUGUGUGUGUGCGUUGUGUGUAGAAGUGGCUCGAAACGACCAAUAUGACUAUUAUGUUGAAGAUAUUUAUGUAUGUAUAGACAGAGAGAGAGAGGGGGGGG